RNAcentral lists this transfer RNA (76 nucleotides) under Clostridiaceae bacterium. Its description in RNAcentral is "tRNA-Met". It matches the Rfam family "tRNA". Rfam says of the family: Transfer RNA (tRNA) molecules are approximately 80 nucleotides in length. The record is from RNAcentral. Lineage: Bacteria; Bacillati; Bacillota; Clostridia; Eubacteriales; Clostridiaceae. RNAcentral also lists the same sequence under 1 other name.
GGCGGCGUAGCUCAGUGGCUAGAGCACCCGGUUCAUACCCGGUAGGUCGUAGGUUCAAAUCCCACCGCCGCUACCA